UUUUUUUCCUUAAAAAUGUGAAAGAUAUGAGCAUCCAAGAUUGUUGACUUGGAUGAGAUGGGCUGCCUGAGGAGACCCAUACAUUGAAAGAGGAAGUACGGGCGUGACGAAGAAGGCACGUGGAAUCUAUGCGCGCGGAGGUUAUAGGUAGGGGUGUUAGGAACCGAACUGAAAAUUGAACCGAAUCGAAAAAUUCGGUUCAGUUUGGUUUUUUUGGUUCAACUCUCAUUAAAAACCAAUAUUUUUUAUUGGUUCGGUUUUUAUCGGUUAACCAAACCAAACCGAACCACAAACCGAUAAAAUCGAACAAUUAAAAAUUCGAUUUUUUUCUCUCUUGACUCUCGUCUCCUCUGGCUCUGAGUCCUCUCCUCUCGUAUCUCGUCUUGGUUGGCUUGGAGGUGCAACGGUGAUGGCGUGUCAGCGACUACGAUGGUGACGACGAUGAUGACGGCAACAGCAGUAGGGACGGCAACGGCGACCGAUUGAGGGACAGAUCCCCUUUCUUUUGCAAGUCUCUCCUUCAUCCCUCUUCCUGCUGCGAUGGCGACGGCGAUGGCGAUUGAGAAGAAUUUGUAGCGGCCACAUGCCUGAGCAUGUCCUGCGCACACUCUGCUCUGGACUGAGGGGCCGCCAGUGGCUUUAGAUCUGCAACGCAUCUUGCUUGCUUAGUGAGCUAGGCUAGUUCAAAUUGGUAAGAUUCUCCUUUGAUCGCUCUGCGUUCAUCUUCCUCUGCAAAGAUCUCUUUUGCUAUUUUUCUCGGUGCUGUCGCUGGGUCGCAUGCAGAGGGUAUCUGGUUUUUUUUUUUCCUUUUUUCUUGCUUUGCUCCAUUUGUUAUGUUCUUCGAGGCUAAGGUUUUGUUUUUUUGCUGUGAUGCGAACUCUGAUCUGUGCUGCUGCGUUGGUUCCGAGGAACACUAUGUUCGUCUACCAUUUUUGCUGCUUUCUUUUUUGCGGAUUUUUGUUUUUAUGCUUCAGCUCUUCUUUUUUUCCUGUAUAGAAGGAUUUUCCUUGGAUUUAGGUGAGAUUUUCAUUGUUGUUUCGCUUCCAUUGGUGUGACGAGUGUUAAUUUUGUUGUUGUGCUGAGUGGUACACAAUGAAGAUGGAUUCUUUAUCUGUUUUUUGGGGGAAAUAUUGAAAAUAGAUUUAGCCAGAUGUUCAAUCUUCAGGUUGAGUUCUUGUUUCUAACAAAGUUCAGGUUUUUAUUUAGACAUGAUUAUCUGUUUAGUUUGUCAAUCUGUGGAAGUGAAGUGAUACCCGUGUUGCUUUAGCUCUGGAAACAUUGGAGGAGGGGGAUGUUGUUGCAGUUGGAAUGUCGAUUAAAGCUUCGAGUUCAACCUGAAAACCAAAAGCUGAAAAAGAAAAAAAAAAUUGAAAACCAAAAAUUGAAAACCAAAAACCAAAAAAUCGAACUGAGCCGUUGACAACCCUAGUUGUAGGUGCGUGGAUCCACACGCCACAUGGGUGCGGCACACACCUAAGCGGUUGAAGCACGCACCUCCAUCCCUCUAAUGAAUUUCCACUUCUCCGUUGGGUAGCUUAAAAAAUUCUGGUUCCCCACUUUUCCUUGAUUUUACGAUUCCGCCCCUCUCUAUUACAAUUAUGCCCCUUAAUUGUUUAUUUUACGGUUUUGCCCUUGGCUGUGUUAGAAUUUGAAUCUUUUAAUAUGCUUAUUCUUUAUAAAAAAAAAAAAAACGUUUUUGUUCAUUUAUCGAUGGGAUGGUAAUGUUCACAUGUUAGAGCAUGUUAUCAAGGUCAACAAGAUGAUAUGACAUAUAAUUUGGGCAAAUUCUCUUAUGAAAAAUGCUGACAAAGUCGAUGCCUUGAGAAAACACCCUUCCUAAAGAAUGGAAAACAAUUAUUGAUGAUCUUUGGGAAUUCGACGAGUGUCCACAAUAUGAUAUUAUUGUGGAAAUUUUUCCAGAGACAGUAUAUAAAGAUGGGGUAACGAAGACAUUGACUCUUGUGAUGAAUCUGACCUACGGCAAAUCUAAAAGACUUGCAAUGGUCCGCUCUUGGUUGCCAAAUUCAACUAUAAGAUUUCCUAAGGAAUUUUAUGAGCCUAUCCCUAUUCUUGUGAAGAUCAAGAAAUAUUGACGUUAUUUCUUUAGGGAUUGUGGGUAUUCAUGAAUGUUUUUAUGCUGAUAUUUUUCUUUCUUUUUAGACUUAUGCAUUUAUGGGACAUAUAGUAAUGAACAUUCGGUAGUAUUUUUUUUUUAAAUUGAUAUUAUUUUAUUCAUGUUAUAUUAUAAGUGGGAAGUUCUAGAAAGUUUUAGCAACUUUAAAGAAUUUAAUUUUGCGUAAAUAAUUAUAAUAAAGGUUUUUAUGGGUGGACUACCUAUGCUGGGCUAACCCAACCCAUAACUUGCAAAUGUAACUGCAUUGUUUUUAUAGUUAAUGUAACUGCCUUUAGAAGUUAACUUUCUUGAGAAAAAAGCGAAAAAGAUGGCUUCCUCUCAACACACAUAACUUUUCUCUCUAACAAAAACAAAGAAGAAGAACUCUUUCUCAUGAGAUUGUAAUCAAGGUAUUUAAUAUGUGGAAAUAAGGUAUGUUUCGAACAUUAAUUCUAAUUUAAAAUUAUCAUUAAUGUAAUUAGUUUGUGUAUAAUUGAUGCAUUAAUGUUAAGCAUUAAUAAUUGGUGCAUAUUUGUCUGAAGAAUAUGCUCAGAUUCAAUGGCUUCAGUAUCUAAGAAUAUCAUAGCCAAGCUCAACAAAGGAUAGAAACUGAAUGGCAAAAAUUAUGAAAUCUAAAAUAUGGAAAUCUAGUAUGUGCUAGAAGAAUAAGAAGUACUAGAAGCUCUUAAUUAGGUAAUGGAAGAACCUAAAGAUGGAAAUACUGCAUAACAUAUAAGGGAUAAAGGAGCAUUUAUGGCAUGGAAGAAAAAGAACUCUAUUGCCAUUGCUGAGUAGCAUGGAAAAUGAUAUUAUGCGGGAGUUUAGACAUUUGGAUAAUGCCAAAGACAUGUGGGCAACAUUAGCAACUAGGUUUGGUAAAAAAAUUUAUUACCAAACUAAGAUAGUUCAUUAUAAAGUUUGACUUUUAUAAGAUGCCUCAUGGGCAAAUCAUGAAACAAUAUUUGAGGCGUAUGUCAAACAUUAUUAGUGAACUAAAAGAUGUUGGCCAUAUAUUAACUGAUGAGCAGCAAAUGCAAGUAGUAAUACAUCAUUUGCCUCAAAGUUGGGAGCAUAUGAAAGUCUAAUUGACCCACAAUGAAAAUAUAAAGACUUUUGAGGACGCUAUGUGCCAUCUUGAGCUAGAGGAGGACUGCUUUAUAGUGGUUAAACUAGACAAAGACAUUUAUUUUGCAGGUUUUAACUCACAAGGGGCUUCGAGCUCCUAUAACAUGGUGAAUUCAAGAAGUGGAAAGGCAAUGGACCAAAUUUUUCAUGAAAGAAACCAUGGUUUAACCAACGUGGGAAAGGAAAACGUCAUUUUAAAAGGAACAUCUCAAAAGUGAGAUGUUUUAACUAUGGCAAUAAGGUUCACUUUGCUUGUGACUGUGGUAACCUAAAGAAAGUAGAAGCCCUUUGUGCAUCUGAGAGUAUUACUUAUGUAUCUAGUUCAGUUUUUCUAACUGAAUCUCAUUCUUUGUAGACUAAAGAUUCAGGAGCCACGUACCAUGUAGUAAAGGACAGAGAUGCCUUCAUGGAGUUCCGACGAGUUUCACAAGGAACGAAAUGGAUAUAUGUGGGAAACAAUUCUAGAGCAGAAGUCAAAAAGAAUGGCACCUACUAAUUGAAUGUGCAUGGUGGUCGAACCUUGUUUACACAUGAUGUAUUAAAUACUCUAGAAAUUUGUUGGAAUUUAUCUAUGUUGAUUUUAGUUAAGCUUGAUUUUAAAUUAAACUUUCAUAACAAUGGGAACAUGUUUUUAUGGUUUUGGAUAUUUCCUAGAUGGUUUCAUUGUAUUGAAUAUUAUUUAC
This 3921-nucleotide long non-coding RNA is filed under the name Eucalyptus grandis. Its description in RNAcentral is "long non-coding RNA (EGRA_LNC004970)". The record is from RNAcentral. Lineage: Eukaryota; Viridiplantae; Streptophyta; Magnoliopsida; Myrtales; Myrtaceae.